Molecule: ribosomal RNA, 206 nt
Filed under: uncultured bacterium
Lineage: Bacteria
Description: partial 16S ribosomal RNA
Rfam family: Bacterial small subunit ribosomal RNA
Source: RNAcentral
AGAUUGCAGGCUGCAACUCGCCUGCAUGAAGUCGGAAUUGCUAGUAAUCGCAGAUCAGCAUGCUGCGGUGAAUACGUUCCCGGGCCUUGUACACACCGCCCGUCACACCAUGGGAGUCGGUAACACCCGAAGUCGGUAGCCUAACCGUAAGGGGGGAGCUGCCGAAGGUGGGAUAAGCGACUGGGGUGAAGUCGUAACAAGGUAAC